RNAcentral lists this ribosomal RNA (253 nucleotides) under uncultured bacterium. RNAcentral describes it as "partial 16S ribosomal RNA". It matches the Rfam family "Bacterial small subunit ribosomal RNA", at positions 524 to 776 of the family's 1533-position model. The record is from RNAcentral.
UACGAAGGUGGCAAGCGUUACUCGGAAUUACUAGGCGUAAAGGGCAGGUAGGUGGUUCGAUAAGUCUGUUGUGAAAGCUCCUGGCUUAACUGGGAGAGGUCAACGGAAACUGCCGAGCUUGAGUAUAGGAGAGGGUACUGGAAUUCCCGGUGUAGCGGUGAAAUGCGCAGAUAUCGGGAGGAACACCAAUGGCGAAAGCAGGUACCUGGACUAUUACUGACACUCAGCUGCGAAAGCUAGGGGAGCAAACAGG